Molecule: unclassified non-coding RNA, 355 nt
Filed under: soil metagenome
Description: partial contains 5.8S ribosomal RNA, internal transcribed spacer 2, and large subunit ribosomal RNA
Rfam family: 5.8S ribosomal RNA (bases 1-120)
Source: RNAcentral
GAUGAAGAACGCAGUGAAAUGCGAUAAGUAAUGCGAAUUGCAGAAUUCAGUGAAUCAUCGAAUCUUUGAACGCACAUUGCGCCCGCUAGUAUUCUGGCGGGCAUGCCUGUCUGAGCGUCAUUUCAACCCUCGCCCCCGGCUUUUGCUGGGAGCGGUGUUGGGGAUCGGCCGCCCGUCACUGGGAGGCCGGCCCCGAAAUAGAGUGGCGACCACGCCGUGUGCUCCUCUGCGUAGUAGUAAAUCACCUCGCAGGCGGACGGCGGUGCGGCCUGCCGUAAAACCCCCAACUCUUUCUGGUUGACCUCAGAUCAGGUAGGAAUACCCGCUGAACUUAAGCAUAUCAAUAAGCGGAGGA